Molecule: ribosomal RNA, 304 nt
Filed under: uncultured bacterium
Lineage: Bacteria
Description: partial 16S ribosomal RNA
Rfam family: Bacterial small subunit ribosomal RNA
Source: RNAcentral
CAGCAGCCGCCGCGGGAAUACGAAGGGUGCAAGCGUUAAUCGGAAUUACUGGGCGUAAAGCGUGCGUAGGCGGUGAGUUAAGUCUGCUGUGAAAUCCCCGGGCUCAACCUGGGAAUGGCAAUGGAUACUGGCAAGCUAGAGUGUGUCAGAGGAUGGUGGAAUUCCCGGUGUAGCGGUGAAAUGCGUAGAGAUCGGGAGGAACAUCAGUGGCGAAGGCGGCCACCUGGGACAACACUGACGCUGAGGCACGAAAGCGUGGGGAGCAAACAGGAUUAGAUACCCGCGUAGUCCCUGUCUCUUAUAC